Molecule: long non-coding RNA, 200 nt
Organism: Bradysia coprophila
Lineage: Eukaryota; Metazoa; Arthropoda; Insecta; Diptera; Sciaridae
Source: RefSeq, a predicted model, not a curated record
UCUACACUGACAAAAAAGUUUAGAAAAACUCAGCUGUUGCAGGUUACUUUGUCUCAAGGUAAUCUACAAUAGCUGCCACAGCUGUAGUGCCCCAUACAAACAAUACAGCUGUGGCAGAUAAUGUGGAUUACCUGGAGAAAAAGUUACCUGCUACAGGUGAGUUUUUCGAAACUUUUUUGUCAGUGCACUGAAAGAGUCAU